Molecule: ribosomal RNA, 253 nt
Filed under: uncultured bacterium
Lineage: Bacteria
Description: partial 16S ribosomal RNA
Rfam family: Bacterial small subunit ribosomal RNA
Source: RNAcentral
UACGAAGGUGGCAAGCGUUGUUCGGAUUUACUGGGCGUAAAGCGCGCGUAGGCGGCUUUGUAAGUUAGAGGUGAAAGCCCGGGGCUCAACCCCGGAAUUGCCUUUAAGACUGCAUCGCUAGAAUCCAGGAGAGGUGAGUGGAAUUCCGAGUGUAGAGGUGAAAUUCGUAGAUAUUCGGAAGAACACCAGUGGCGAAGGCGGCUCACUGGACUGGUAUUGACGCUGAGGUGCGAAAGCGUGGGGAGCAAACAGG